GCGGGUGAAAAGCCCGCUCGCCGGAAGACCAAGGGUUCCUGUCCAACGUUAAUCGGGGCAGGGUGAGUCGACCCCUAAGGCGAGGCCGAAAGGCGUAGUCGAUGGGAAACAGGUUAAUAUUCCUGUACUUGGUGUUACUGCGAAGGGGGGACGGAGAAGGCUAUGUUAGCCGGGCGACGGUUGUCCCGGUUUAAGCAUGUAGGCGGAACGAUUAGGUAAAUCCGGUCGUUUAUUAACGCUGAGGUGUGAUGACGAGGCACUACGGUGCUGAAGUAACAAAUGCCCUGCUUCCAGGAAAAGCCUCUAAGCAUCAGGUAACAUCAAAUCGUACCCCAAACCGACACAGGUGGUCAGGUAGAGAAUACCAAGGCGCUUGAGAGAACUCGGGUGAAGGAACUAGGCAAAAUGGUGCCGUAACUUCGGGAGAAGGCACGCUGAUAUGUAGGUGAAGCCCCUGCGGGUGGAGCUGAAAUCAGUCGAAGAUACCAGCUGGCUGCAACUGUUUAUUAAAAACACAGCACUGUGCAAACACGAAAGUGGACGUAUACGGUGUGACGCCUGCCCGGUGCCGGAAG
RNAcentral lists this ribosomal RNA (575 nucleotides) under Enterobacter asburiae. RNAcentral describes it as "partial 23S ribosomal RNA". It matches the Rfam family "Bacterial large subunit ribosomal RNA", at positions 1317 to 1875 of the family's 2925-position model. The record is from RNAcentral. Lineage: Bacteria; Pseudomonadati; Pseudomonadota; Gammaproteobacteria; Enterobacterales; Enterobacteriaceae.